CAGUAGCCGCGGUAAUACGAAGGGGGCUAGCGUUGCUCGGAAUUACUGGGCGUAAAGGGAGCGUAGGCGGACAUUUAAGUCAGGGGUGAAAUCCCAGAGCUCAACUCUGGAACUGCCUUUGAUACUGGGUGUCUUGAGUGUGAUAGAGGUAUGUGGAACUCCGAGUGUAGAGGUGAAAUUCGUAGAUAUUCGGAAGAACACCAGUGGCGAAGGCGACAUACUGGAUCAUUACUGACGCUGAGGCUCGAAAGCGUGGGGAGCAAACAGGAUUAGAUACCCCGGUAGUCCCUGUCUCUUAUAC
RNAcentral lists this ribosomal RNA (301 nucleotides) under uncultured bacterium. RNAcentral's name for it is "partial 16S ribosomal RNA". It matches the Rfam family "Bacterial small subunit ribosomal RNA", at positions 509 to 807 of the family's 1533-position model. The record is from RNAcentral.